RNAcentral lists this transfer RNA (72 nucleotides) under Camelus ferus (Wild Bactrian camel). It matches the Rfam family "tRNA". From Rfam's summary of the family: Transfer RNA (tRNA) molecules are approximately 80 nucleotides in length. Their secondary structure includes four short double-helical elements and three loops (D, anti-codon, and T loops). Further hydrogen bonds mediate the characteristic L-shaped molecular structure. tRNAs have two regions of fundamental functional importance: the anti-codon, which is responsible for specific mRNA codon recognition, and the 3' end, to which the tRNAs corresponding amino acid is attached (by aminoacyl-tRNA synthetases). tRNAs cope with the degeneracy of the genetic code in two manners: having more than one tRNA (with a specific anti-codon) for a particular amino acid; and 'wobble' base-pairing, i.e. permitting non-standard base-pairing at the 3rd anti-codon position. Lineage: Eukaryota; Metazoa; Chordata; Mammalia; Artiodactyla; Camelidae. The record is from Rfam by way of RNAcentral.
GAGGGUAUAGCUCAGUGGUAGAGCACAUGCUUAGUAUGAAGGAGGUCCUGGGUUCAAUCCCCAGUACCUCCU